Molecule: ribosomal RNA, 253 nt
Filed under: uncultured bacterium
Lineage: Bacteria
Description: partial 16S ribosomal RNA
Rfam family: Bacterial small subunit ribosomal RNA
Source: RNAcentral
GACGGAGGGGGCAAGCGUUAUCCGGAAUUAUUGGGCGUAAAGGGUACGUAGGCGGCUGGUCAAGUCUGGGGUCAAAGGCCACAGCUUAACUGUGGGAAGGCCCUGGAAACUGACCGGCUAGAGUGAGGUAGGGGUUGCGGGAAUUCCGGGUGUAGCGGUGAAAUGCGUAGAGAUCGGGAAGAACACCUGAGGCGGAAGCGCGCAACUGGGCCUCAACUGACGCUGAGGUACGAAAGCUAGGGGAGCGAAGGGG